ACGCUGAGUGUGUAGAGCAUCUGACUUUUAAUCAGAGGGUCAGAGGUUCGAAUCCUCUAUGGCUCA
This 66-nucleotide transfer RNA is filed under the name Staphylococcus aureus subsp. aureus IS-157. RNAcentral's name for it is "tRNA-Lys". It matches the Rfam family "tRNA". From Rfam's summary of the family: Transfer RNA (tRNA) molecules are approximately 80 nucleotides in length. Their secondary structure includes four short double-helical elements and three loops (D, anti-codon, and T loops). Lineage: Bacteria; Bacillati; Bacillota; Bacilli; Caryophanales; Staphylococcaceae. The record is from RNAcentral.